Molecule: ribosomal RNA, 253 nt
Filed under: uncultured bacterium
Lineage: Bacteria
Description: partial 16S ribosomal RNA
Rfam family: Bacterial small subunit ribosomal RNA
Source: RNAcentral
UACGGGGGGGGCAAGCGUUGUCCGGAAUUAUUGGGCGUAAAGAGCUCGUAGGCGGUUUGUCGCGUCGAAUGUGAAAACCCGGGGCUCAACCCCGGGCCUGCAUUCGAUACGGGCAGACUAGAGUUCGGUAGGGGAGUCUGGAAUUCCUGGUGUAGCGGUGAAAUGCGCAGAUAUCAGGAGGAACACCGGUGGCGAAGGCGGGACUCUGGGCCGAUACUGACGCUGAGGAGCGAAAGCGUGGGGAGCGAACAGG